CCAGUAAUCGUUCUUAAAUCUUUUAAUUUUUAACAAAUUUUUCAUUUUUUAUGUGUCUUCGCUUGGAAUGAUUGAAAAAUAUUUUUGAAAGAUAAGAGCAAUAAUCCGUAAAAUUAAACUCCGAAUACAUCCGAGUGUGACGUGUGUCUCCGCUGCCAACAAACCAAACAAAAUGGCGUGUUUUGGUUGCUUAAAAGUGUUGGAAAAUUCGAAGCUCCUAAUUUUUUGCAAUUAUCAGCUGAAACGGCUAAGCAGCACCUCCAGCAUAUCAUAUAGCGGAAAUGGUCCGGAAGUUAAAUUUGCCGGUCGAGACCAUUCGGACAGAAUCAAAAAUGGGAAAUACCGGUGUUGGACAUCAUAAUUAUUCGUUUAACUAGAAUAAAUAUGACAAGAAGAAAGUCGUCAAUCUUUCCCACGGGGUACUUUCGGAUCGGAUCGCAUUAAAAGGAAUCUCCGGUGACCCAAAGGAUUCUUCCGGACUUAUCUUUAAAUUGGCAGUAAAAAAGGUUGCUGGUGUUGCAGAAUCAGCAGAACGGGUUGGAAAAGGUUUUCUCAUUCUAUUUGUUAUUUACUACUGAAAAUUUUUCAUCUCAAUCUCAAAUCUCAAAAAACCUGAAUCUAACACCGUAUGGGAAGGCAUUAUCUCCUAUGGCACCAUUUAUAUUUCCGGUUGUACGUUGCAGUGGAAUUUAUCUGAUACAGUUGUUGGAUCAGCGAGAUGGUUCGGAAAAAAAACCUGUCUGUCAUAGAAGACUCGAAUUUAGCCCUGAAUCGCAUAUAUAUAAGAAAUAUACAGAGAAGCAUCGGUCGUUCUCCAAUGAAACCUUCGUUUCAAAACGCAUAUAGUGAAAACGAUGAAUCCGGAUUAAAAAAAAUGUGUACUUCAACUGAAUCUGUCGAUGGAAAAAGUUCGGUCUCCGGGGCGGCUGGUAUUGGAACUAGUGGGAAAUCAAUGGCGGAAACAGCUGAUUUUAACACAGCCCAGGUGGUGCUACCACCAAAUCAUCAAUCAGAAGCGUCCCCACGCAUCACUAUCCACUUGUCAGCGAAAGAGACAAUCACCACGACAGAAGCUUUCAUUCCUAUCAUAAAUAACCAAAAAAAGUAAACCAGCUAGCAGCAGCAGCGACCAGUUCUGCAGCUCCGCAAUAAGUCAGGUUGAGCUUUUCCUCGUCGAAGAGGGCCUAUUUGAUAUAACUAUUUGCAUUACGACACCUAUAAGAAUAUUUGCGAGCAGAGGAGCACAGCAAACAGUGACUAUCCGGCUAUCAGCAAGGAAAUAGGAUUGUUUUUCUAGGGGAUGUACAGCGAGCAUCAUUUGGGAAUGUUCGCUGAGAAGAAUGUUUCCCAAGCUCACGGAUCAAGAUUUCUGCGAGUUGGGAUUCCAGUUACCAUUCGAACGGAAAAAGAUUCUUCGUGGUUUGCUCAAGUUUCAUCGGCAGGCGUGGAACAAACGCAACAUGAAACAAUUUCGAAAGCACAAACUUAACUCUUAUACAAUCUGAUGGAACUAAUCGCCAAUCAUUUGGAUCAAGGACCACAAAGCAGUCUCCAUUCGUGUUCAACUCCAAUAUAUAUUUCUAAGCUAAAUUUACGAAAGUUCUGUUUUGGAAAGC
Uranotaenia lowii is the source of this 1616-nucleotide long non-coding RNA. RefSeq lists it as uncharacterized. The transcript is spliced from 6 exons. NCBI's taxonomy places the organism in Eukaryota, Metazoa, Arthropoda, Insecta, Diptera, Culicidae. The record is from RefSeq and is a predicted model, not a curated record.